Molecule: ribosomal RNA, 509 nt
Filed under: uncultured bacterium
Lineage: Bacteria
Description: bacterial SSU rRNA
Rfam family: Bacterial small subunit ribosomal RNA
Source: RNAcentral
UUAUGGCUCAGGAUGAACGCUAGCGACAGGCUUAACACAUGCAAGUCGAGGGGCAGCAUAAAAGUAGCAAUACGUUGGUGGCGACCGGCGCACGGGUGAGUAACGCGUAUGCAACCUACCUAUCAGAGGGGAAUAACCCGGCGAAAGUCGGACUAAUACCGCAUAAAACAGGGGCACCGCAUGGUGAUAUUUGUUAAAGAAAUUCGCUGAUAGAUGGGCAUGCGUUCCAUUAGGUAGUUGGUGAGGUAACGGCUCACCAAGCCGACGAUGGAUAGGGGAACUGAGAGGUUGGUCCCCCACACUGGUACUGAGACACGGACCAGACUCCUACGGGAGGCAGCAGUGAGGAAUAUUGGUCAAUGGGCGGGAGCCUGAACCAGCCAAGUCGCGUGAAGGAAGAAGGAUCUAUGGUUCGUAAACUUCUUUUGCAGGGGAAUAAAGUGCAGGACGUGUCCUGUUUUGUAUGUACCCUGAGAAUAAGGAUCGGCUAACUCCGUGCCAGCCGCUGC